Molecule: long non-coding RNA, 1835 nt
Organism: Cercocebus atys (sooty mangabey)
Lineage: Eukaryota; Metazoa; Chordata; Mammalia; Primates; Cercopithecidae
Exons: 2
Source: RefSeq, a predicted model, not a curated record
CUUUUUUGGAGGCGGUUACACAGAGAAUACAGGAGCCUCUGCCUUAGCCGCCCAGAUGCUUUGCAUUUUGUACACAGCUUUGACUAAGUGCUCUGGACUUCCAAGAAGUUAACCGGAGUGGAAGGCGAGUCAUAUUGUGGAUGCGGAAUGCAAGCUUAGACAAGAAAAAACUGUCAGCAGAGCGCCUCUGCUGUCACCGUCACACCCAAAUGAGCGAGGACGUCUCUCAGAGCGCAAACUCAGAUCCACACACGGACAUCUUCGACCGAAUCCUUCUUCUGUCUCUAUUCCGGGCUAAGGAGAGAAAGAAACGAAUAUGGAACCUUUAUAGAGCAUUCAGAGGCUACACACAUGGAUCUUGCUGAAACGGAGUUACUUAAAAACAGAGAAAGUAUGUUUUCCCACCAGAUAGAUGUUAUAAUUCCUCUCUGAAGCAUACCCAAGUCUAUGGGUAUCAGUAACAGCCAUUUCAAAUGCCUCUCUGAGCCGUGCCAGCUCCAUGAGAGGCUGUGGGGAUGCUGCUUCCAGCUUUCCCUGUGCAGAACUCCGUUGUAAAUCCGUCUGAGUUGCCAAGGUGGCAGCAGAGCAUAGGGAUAGCUCCUCAAGCUCCAGCAUCAACAAGGAAGAUCACAUUUUAGGACAAAUACUCAUCUACCUGCAUUUAAACAUCCAUUUUCGUAUGUUACAAGAUGAUUAUGCGUGAACAAAAACAGAAGGUACAUACUGGCAGGAAACAAAAGCACGUUAAACCAUGGAGAUUUCCUCUCACGUAAACCUGCCAUUUGUUAAGCAGUUGCUCUCUAUUCCACAGGGAAGCUGGCAAAAACUUGAUACAAACAUUCUCCAACUGCACUGGGAGGAAUAAGUGAAGGUAACACCUUUUUAAAAAAGGCAUACAAACAGAUAAAAGAUCUACCUAGGGACUUAUUCAAACUUAGAUGCUACCAUUGUGCAAAAUGUUACCGAAUCAGCACACCAACAUGGCACACGUAUACAUAUGUAACAAACCUGCACGUUGUGCACAUGUACCCUAGAACAUAAAGUAUAAUAAAAUAAUAAUAAUAAUAAUAAAGUAAUCAAUAUGGGAAAAAAAAGUUACGAGUCUACCUAUAUCUAACUAUAGUUCUGAUAAAGAGAGAAGUGAUGUUUUAAUCUGGGAAAACACACUUAAUCAAACAUGUAUAAGAGAUUCUGAGUUAAAAUUGAUAUGUACUUUCUCUCACUAUCAACGUGCUAGAAAAAUAAAAUUGCCUUCUUUGGAAGGACAGAGGCAAUUUUCAAGAGUGCUUAUUCACAGAAAAAAAAUGAAUAUUUGCACUCAAAGUUUAUACAGUUACAAAGAGCUCUGAGCUUGGUCUUGGAAGGUCUUAUUUCAAGUCUCCAUCUUAUCAGGGAAAUCACGUAACUGCUCGGAGCCUCAGCAUCCCUUCUAUCAAAUAAAAAGAGUAUAAUAAAGAUCAUCUUUCAGGGUAGAUAUGAAAAGAUCAAGUAAAGUGAGGUGUUUCAAAGCUCAAAAUAAGAAAAAGCUGUCAUUAUUUAUAUAAUUAAUGUGUUUAUAUAACAUAUAAAUAUAUAUAAUUUAUAUAAUUAAUAUGAACACAAUUUAGCGUGAGAUAUAUUUAGUCCAUCUAACCUUCAGCCAUUUCAUGGAGUAUUAAUUGCAUUGCUACUUCCUGCUUUGUUGGUAACCUUGUUCCAUAUAACCUCUGAGAGCUUCGAAGGUGUAGAGCUGCUUAGUUCUUGCACAGUUAACUCUGCAGUGCUUUCAGGUUUCACCAUCUGCCACCCUAGAAAUAAACUUGACCUACCCUAGAAAUAAACUUCCUCAAACCAGA